This 825-nucleotide ribosomal RNA is filed under the name uncultured bacterium. RNAcentral's name for it is "bacterial SSU rRNA". It matches the Rfam family "Bacterial small subunit ribosomal RNA", at positions 26 to 898 of the family's 1533-position model. The record is from RNAcentral.
AGAACGAACGCUGGCGGCAGGCCUAACACAUGCAAGUCGAACGCUGUAGCAAUACAGAGUGGCAGACGGGUGAGGAACACGUGGGAACAUACCCUUUGGUUCGGAAUAACUCAGGGAAACUUGAGCUAAUACCGGAUAAGCCCUUACGGGGAAAGAUUUAUCGCCGAAGGAUUGGCCCGCGUCCGAUUAGCUAGUUGGUGAGGUAACGGCUCACCAAGGCGACGAUCGGUAGCUGGUCUGAGAGGAUGAUCAGCCACAUUGGGACUGAGACACGGCCCAAACUCCUACGGGAGGCAGCAGUGGGGAAUAUUGGACAAUGGCCGCAAGCCUGAUCCAGCCAUGCCGCGUGAGUGAUGACGGCCUUAGGGUUGUAAAGCUCUUUCACCCACGACGAUAAUGACGGUAGUGGGAGAAGAAGCCCCGGCUAACUUCGUGCCAGCAGCCGCGGUAAUACGAAGGGGGCUAGCGUUGUUCGGAUUUACUGGGCGUAAAGCGCACGUAGGCGGAUCUUUAAGUCAGGGGUGAAAUGCCAAGGCUCAACCUUGGAACUGCCUUUGAUACUGGAGAUCUUGAGUCCGGGAGAGGUGAGUGGAACUGCGAGUGUAGAGGUGAAAUUCGUAGAUAUUCGCAAGAACACCAGUGGCGAAGGCGGCUCACUGGCCCGGAACUGACGCUGAGACGCGAAAGCGUGGGGAGCAAACAGGAUUAGAUACCCUGGUAGUCCACGCCGUAAACGAUGAAUGCCAGCCGUUAGUGGGUUUACUCACUAGUGGCGCAGCUAACGCUUUAAGCAUUCCGCCUGGGGAGUACGGUCGCAAGAUUAAA